GAUCAUGGCUCAGAUUGAACGCUGGCGGCAGGCUUAACACAUGCAAGUCGAACGGUAACAUAAAGAAGCUUGCUUCUUUGAUGACGAGUGGCGGACGGGUGAGUAAUGCUUGGGAAUCUAGCUUAUGGAGGGGGAUAACUACGGGAAACUGUAGCUAAUACCGCGUAGUAUCGGAAGAUGAAAGUGUGGGACCUUCGGGCCACAUGCCAUAGGAUGAGCCCAAGUGGGAUUAGGUAGUUGGUG
Molecule: ribosomal RNA, 243 nt
Filed under: uncultured bacterium
Lineage: Bacteria
Description: partial 16S ribosomal RNA
Rfam family: Bacterial small subunit ribosomal RNA
Source: RNAcentral